AACGGCCGUACCAUGCUGAAUAUACCGGUUCCCGUUAGAUCCCCGAAGUCAAGCAUCAUUGGGCGCGGUCAGUACUUGGGUGGGUGACCACCUGGGAACACUGCGUGCCGUU
RNAcentral lists this ribosomal RNA (112 nucleotides) under Caerostris darwini. The record is from RNAcentral. Lineage: Eukaryota; Metazoa; Arthropoda; Arachnida; Araneae; Araneidae.